ACGAGCCCUGCACCACAACCGUGCUGGUUAGAAGAGCCAUCGACGAAUAAUAUCCAGUGGGCGAGGUCUUUUUCUGAGGUUGGUUCUUUAGGAAUUCCCGCUUCAGGAGGAGCCGUUUCUGGUUGUGGAGUGUCUUCAUGGGUGGAUUCGACAAUGAAAUCAGCCAGGGCCUGAGCUUUUAUUGCCGUCCUCAGCCUGUACUCAAUGUGGAACUCACUUAGCUCGAUGGACCAUU
This 235-nucleotide long non-coding RNA is filed under the name Actinidia chinensis (golden kiwifruit). RNAcentral describes it as "long non-coding RNA (ACHI_LNC008993)". The record is from RNAcentral. Lineage: Eukaryota; Viridiplantae; Streptophyta; Magnoliopsida; Ericales; Actinidiaceae.